GGAUGAUGGGUUCAAUCUUUCACGAGGAUACUUUCUUUAAGAUCAGAUUUAAUAAGCGGGCUUAGGGUAAGACGGCCUGGGGUAAGCUGGUUCAGCUGGGUAGGCAGGCUUCUCAGUGGUGGUCGGCUUGGGGUAGGCAGGCUUGGGGUAGACAGGCUCGACUGGGUAAGAAGGCUUAGGGUAAGCGGGCUCAGCUGGGUAGGCCGGCUUGGAAUAUGCGGGUUUUUCAGUGGAUGUUGGCUUGGGGUAAGCCUUUUCAGUUGUGUAAACGGGCUUGGAAUAAGCGUCUUCAGUUUGAUAGGCUGGCUUAGGGUAGGCCGAUUCCACUGGAGAUGCUGAUUUGGGAUAAGCCGAGGUAGCGGCGGGUUUGUAUUCGUCGUAUUUGG
Molecule: long non-coding RNA, 386 nt
Organism: Daphnia carinata
Lineage: Eukaryota; Metazoa; Arthropoda; Branchiopoda; Diplostraca; Daphniidae
Exons: 3
Source: RefSeq, a predicted model, not a curated record